Molecule: ribosomal RNA, 253 nt
Filed under: uncultured bacterium
Lineage: Bacteria
Description: partial 16S ribosomal RNA
Rfam family: Bacterial small subunit ribosomal RNA
Source: RNAcentral
UACGUAGGUGGCUAGCGUUGUCCGGAUUUACUGGGCGUAAAGAGCGCGCAGGCGGUCGUUCAAGUCGAGUGUGAAAGCCCCCGGCUCAACUGGGGAGGGUCAUUCGAUACUGAUCGACUCGAAGGCAGGAGAGGGUAGUGGAAUUCCCGGUGUAGUGGUGAAAUGCGUAGAUAUCGGGAGGAACACCAGUGGCGAAGGCGACUACCUGGCCUGUUCUUGACGCUGAGGCGCGAAAGCUAGGGGAGCAAACGGG